This is a long non-coding RNA of Argiope bruennichi, 435 nucleotides long. RefSeq lists it as uncharacterized. The transcript is spliced from 3 exons. NCBI's taxonomy places the organism in Eukaryota, Metazoa, Arthropoda, Arachnida, Araneae, Araneidae. The record is from RefSeq and is a predicted model, not a curated record.
AUUUUUUAUGCACAAAAACUGAGGUACAGAUUUCUUCUAUAGAAAUGACAUGAAAACCUUACCAAGUUUGAAAAGUCAAGUGAAGGAAUUGCCAACAAGAAUUCUCAAGAAAGUUGGAUAAAGCUUAGUAUUUGUCCAGGCAUGUCUAUUCAGUUAAUAAACGGAUGUUCUGGUGAACGAGAAAUCUUUCCUUCUCCAAUGAUGCCACUCAGAUUUUGAUGUAUAAACACUAAGGAUGAGAUUUCGACUAGAACCGAAAUGAUUACUUUGUGAAAAUUUAAGUAAAGAUACUAUUGGAUAAUUCCAAAUUACAUCCCCAUCAAUGGACUCGAGGAUCAAUAAAGAACAUUUUAUGAUAAAUGCUGGAUUGGAGACAUUUCUGAAGAUUUACAUAUACCUCAAUACCAUUUUACUUGGAAAAACCUCAAAGAACAA